UGUCUUCGAGUCGUUGAUUUCACACUGCCGAGAAAAGCCUCUAGAUAGAAAAUAGGUGCCCGUACCGCAAACCGACACAGGUAGUCAAGAUGAGAAUUCUAAGGUGAGCGAGCGAACUCUCGUUAAGGAACUCGGCAAAAUGACCCCGUAACUUCGGGAGAAGGGGUGCUCUUUAGGGUUAACGCCCAGAAGAGCCGCAGUGAAUAGGCCCAAGCGACUGUUUAUCAAAAACACAGGUCUCUGCUAAACCGUAAGGUGAUGUAUAGGGGCUGACGCCUGCCCGGUGCUGGAAGGUUAAGAGGAGUGGUUAGCUUCUGCGAAGCUACGAAUCGAAGCCCCAGUAAACGGCGGCCGUAACUAUAACGGUCCUAAGGUAGCGAAAUUCCUUGUCGGGUAAGUUCCGACCCGCACGAAAGGCGUAACGAUUUGGGCACUGUCUCAACGAGAGACUCGGUGAAAUCAUAGUACCUGUGAAGAUGCAGGUUACCCGCGACAGGACGGAAAGACCCCGUGGAGCUUUACUGUAGCCUGAUAUUGAAAUUCGGCACAGCUUGUACAGGAUAGGUAGGAGCCUUUGAAACGUGAGCGCUAGCUUACGUGGAGGCGCUGGUGGGAUACUACCCUAGCUGUGUUGGCUUUCUAACCCGCACCACUUAUCGUGGUGGGAGACAGUGUCAGGCGGGCAGUUUGACUGGGGCGGUCGCCUCCUAAAAGGUAACGGAGGCGCUCAAAGGUUCCCUCAGAAUGGUUGGAAAUCAUUCAUAGAGUGUAAAGGCAUAAGGGAGCUUGACUGCGAGACCUACAAGUCGAGCAGGGUCGAAAGACGGACUUAGUGAUCCGGUGGUUCCGCAUGGAAGGGCCAUCGCUCAACGGAUAAAAGCUACCCCGGGGAUAACAGGCUUAUCUCCCCCAAGAGUUCACAUCGACGGGGAGGUUUGGCACCUCGAUGUCGGCUCAUCGCAUCCUGGGGCUGUAGUCGGUCCCAAGGGUUGGGCUGUUCGCCCAUUAAAGCGGUACGCGAGCUGGGUUCAGAACGUCGUGAGACAGUUCGGUCCCUAUCCGUCGUGGGCGUAGGAAAUUUGAGAGGAGCUGUCCUUAGUACGAGAGGACCGGGAUGGACAUACCUCUGGUGUACCAGUUGUCGUGCCAACGGCAUAGCUGGGUAGCUAUGUGUGGACGGGAUAAGUGCUGAAAGCAUCUAAGCAUGAAGCCCCCCUCAAGAUGAGAUUUCCCAACUUCGGUUAUAAGAUCCCUCAAAGAUGAUGAGGUUAAUAG
Molecule: ribosomal RNA, 1275 nt
Filed under: Staphylococcus aureus
Lineage: Bacteria; Bacillati; Bacillota; Bacilli; Caryophanales; Staphylococcaceae
Description: bacterial LSU rRNA
Rfam family: Bacterial large subunit ribosomal RNA
Source: RNAcentral